Molecule: non-coding RNA, 2662 nt
Organism: Struthio camelus australis
Lineage: Eukaryota; Metazoa; Chordata; Aves; Struthioniformes; Struthionidae
Source: RefSeq, a predicted model, not a curated record
UCUUGGUUUAACGGUGGGUACGUUGACUUUACAGGACAAAAUGGCAUCCGAUGAGGGGAAGCUCUUUGUUGGCGGUCUGAGUUUUGACACCAAUGAGCAGUCAUUGGAACAAGUCUUCUCUAAAUAUGGACAGAUCUCUGAAGUCGUUGUGGUGAAAGACAGAGAGACUCAAAGAUCCAGAGGUUUUGGCUUUGUUACUUUUGAAAACAUAGACGAUGCUAAAGAUGCAAUGAUGGCUAUGAACGGAAAGUCUGUAGAUGGACGUCAGAUCAGAGUUGAUCAGGCUGGAAAAUCAUCAGAGAACAGAUCUCGUGGAUACAGAGGGGGGUCUUCUGGGGGCAGAGGCUUUUUCCGUGGAGGCAGAGGUCGGGGCCGUGGCUUCUCUAGAGGAGGUGGAGACAGAGGCUAUGGCGGAAGCAGGUUUGAUUCCAGAAGUGGAGGAUAUAAUGGCUCCAGAGACUACUAUAAUAGCAGCAGGAGUCAAGGUGGUUACGGCGACAGGUCUUCAGGAGGAUCCUACAGAGACAGCUACGACAGUUACGGCUGAAGGGAAGAUGGACAUUCAACACUGAAGCCGAAGGGGAAUUCGGAGAAAGCGCGUUCAUUCCAAGAAAGCAUCAAGACUUGAGUUCGCCGAGCAGCAGUGAACUGCAUCGGAGAAGACCAAGAAGGACAGCUAUUGAUUGGAGUGGAGAAGAACUUUUGAGCAAUGUUGUUACUGUUUUUUAUAUAGAUCAAUUGAACAAACAAGUCAAGAUAGAAUAAAAUACUGGAAUAUGGAAAAAAAGAAUCUCUGUAGUACUUUUGUGAGAAAACAUUAGAAUAGUAGGUUGUGGCUAAGGCAUAGAAUAGAAAGAAGAAUAGAAAUCUGGUUACUUGGUGUGUUGCCUAGAUUUAAAAAAAAACUUCAAAAAUGCUGCUCUGGUUGGGGAGGUGGAUAGUAAGGGUAACCUGUCUUUAUGAGCGAGUUGGAGGGAGAAUUUGCGUUGCAUCCUUGUAACCUUGAGCUGAGUGGCCUAGUUGCUUCACUACAGUUUUGUAGAUGCAGAAACCAAUGCAAGUACAUCUGAAAAGAACUGUUAGAUGAGCAGUUAUAUAAACAUGGAAUCAGUAUUGUUUGUUCAGAACAGGAGUAAGCUGUUUUUGCCAGUUUGAAAUGGUAACAAACACAAAAGUUUAAUUUGCAUUUGAGUGCCAAAGCUGUUUUGAACUUGGAUAAGCAAUAAUCUCUGUUUUCAUACACAUUAGUCUAAUUAAAAUUAAUGCUUUUUGCUGAUAAAAAUGAAAUGUGAUGUUUCUGCAACUCAUUACAGUGGUUACACGUUCCCAAACAACAUUAUACUUCUCAGAUGGCACAUAGGAUUGGUCUGUCCUGCAAUCAGUGUUUUCUGUGUGUUUAAGCACUUGCCUCAAUAUAAAGUUGGUCCAAGGUUCCGAUCUAUACUAAGUUGCUACUUGUAACUCAGAAGCAAACUUUACGUUUCUAGGAUAACUUAGGUUAAAAAUAAGUUUCAUUAACUCCAGUUUGAAAAGUAACCAUCUGGUAUUAGCAAAUACAACUCUGGUCUUUUCCAUGGUGUGGAAUUCUCUAGUGGGAUAACUUGAUCAGGUGAAAAGUAAUAGGUGAUGAAAGAUGAGAAGUGAAACAAGCCAAGGGUUGAAGCAGUACUGAGCCAUGCAACUCUCCAGUUGCAAUUAGAUGUUUCAGAUGGAUGACUGGAACAUGAGGACAACAAAAGCUGAGUAGGAAAUCUGCUGCUGCAGAAACAGUCAACAAUUGUCUUGGGCCUUGUUAGGAGGAAAACAGUUGAGUAUGGCAUAGUUACCUUGUACAAAAUUAUUUGGUUUGACUCUUCACUUAAUGAAAAGGUACAUAAUAAAGAAGUCCCCUUUUGGAAAUGGGGAAAACUAGCAAAUAAAUUUUGAAAGCUUUUGGUGCGCACUAGUGGUUGCGCGGUCUUGCUGGAAGUAGGGUUGGGGGUUUGUAGGUAACAAGGUAGUAACUAGUUUGACUCAUUUCAGGAAGAUGCUUUGUAUAGAGUGGAGUGGGGGAAAUAUGGAGCUGCCUGAAGAAGAGUUAGGAAUAGAGCUGCCCAGAUCCUAGCAGUUGGCAAGUUUUAAAACCUCAACAUUUAUUUGUGUGUGUGUAGCUAAUGCACUCCAGAUAUUUGCCUGUUAACUGCAAAGAGCAGCUGUGUAGUUGGAAUGAAUCCUAGUAGUCUGAAUGCAAAAUUCAACCUAAGAUUGAAUGUGCACAAGCCACCACUUGGAAAAAUUUCAAUUUUGUAGUCAUUUCCUUUGGUUUUUAUGGAAUAGGAUGGCUAAUAAAAAGACAUCUUGCCACCUUUCCUAACUAGGAGAUGUCACCUUUUAUUCCACGAUGUAUGUUGUAUUCCUUGGAGGCGAGUCUUGCAGGAGUAAAAGCACUUUGGCUGUGCAUGUUUAAGGUUCCUUAUCAGUACUGCCGUUCUGUUAACUUGCAGCUUUGGUUGCCCUAGCCUGGAUUCAAACCAGGUCUUACCUUGUGGCUCUUACCUGACCAUGGCUCACACAGUUCAUGCAUUGUGCUACUGAAGAGGAAAGAUGUUCUUUCCCUUGUUCUGUAGAGGGGCAGGUAAGGGUCAGAGCAAGGGAAUUCAAAUUUCCUUACAGGAAGUUUGCA